UACGGAAGGCAGCAGUGGGGAAUAUUGCACAAUGGGCGCAAGCCUGAUGCAACCGUGCCGCGUGUAUGAAGAAGGCCUUCGGGUUGUAAAGUACUUUCAGUCGUGAGGAAGGUGUUAAGGUUAAUAACCUUAGCAAUUGACGUUAGCGACAGAAGAAGCACCGGCUAACUCCGUGCCAGCAGCCGCGGUAAUACGGAGGGUGCGAGCGUUAAUCGGAAUUACUGGGCGUAAAGGGCACGCAGGCGGUUAAUUAAGUUGGAUGUGAAAUCCCCGGGCUUAACCUGGGAAUGGCAUUCAAGACUGGUUAGCUAGAGUCUUGUAGAGGGGGUAGAAUUCCAUGUGUAGCGGUGAAAUGCGUAGAGAUGUGGAGGAAUACCGGUGGCGAAGGCGGCCCCUGGACAAAGACUGACGCUCAUGUGCGAAAGCGUGGGGAGCAAACAGGGAUUAGAUACC
RNAcentral lists this ribosomal RNA (453 nucleotides) under uncultured bacterium. RNAcentral describes it as "bacterial SSU rRNA". It matches the Rfam family "Bacterial small subunit ribosomal RNA", at positions 340 to 786 of the family's 1533-position model. The record is from RNAcentral.